This 757-nucleotide ribosomal RNA is filed under the name uncultured bacterium. RNAcentral describes it as "bacterial SSU rRNA". It matches the Rfam family "Bacterial small subunit ribosomal RNA", at positions 8 to 796 of the family's 1533-position model. The record is from RNAcentral.
AGAGUUUGAUCAUGGCUCAGAAUCAACGCUGGCGGCGCGCUUAACACAUGCAAGUCGAACGAGAAAGCCGGAGCAAUCUGGUGAGUAAAGUGGCGUACGGGUGAGUAACACGUGGAUGAUCUACCUUCUGGUGUGGAAUAACCGAGGGAAACCUUGGCUAAUACCGCAUAAGCUCGAGAGAGGAAAGCAGCAAUGCGCCGGAAGAGGAGUCCGCGGCCGAUUAGCUAGUUGGUAGGGUAAAAGCCUACCAAGGCAAAGAUCGGUAGCCGGCCUGAGAGGGCACACGGCCACACUGGCACUGAAACACGGGCCAGACUCCUACGGGAGGCAGCAGUGGGGAAUCUUGCACAAUGGGGGCAACCCUGAUGCAGCGACGCCGCGUGAGCGAUGAAGCCCUUCGGGGUGUAAAGCUCUUUCGUCAGGGAAGAUUAUGACGGUACCUGGAGAAGCAGCUGCGGCUAACUACGUGCCAGCAGCCGCGGUAAUACGUAGGCAGCGAGCGUUGUUCGGAGUUACUGGGCGUAAAGGGUGUGUAGGCGGUUGUUUAAGUUUGGUGUGAAAUCUCCCGGCUCAACUGGGAGGGUGCGCCGAAUACUGAAUGACUUCGAGUGCGGGAGAGGAAAGUGGAAUUCCUGGUGUAGCGGUGAAAUGCGUAGAUAUCAGGAGGAACCCGGUGGUGUAGACGGCUUUCUGGACCGUAACUGACGCUGAGACACGAAAGCGUGGGUACAAACAGGAUUAGAUACCCNNGUAGUCC